CUUUCUAUUUGGUUCUAUUUUUUAGUCAUGAAGUUAAGUAGUAUCGUGGGAUAUUUGAAGUUCUUGGGUACUGAAAAUUCAAGAAGUUUUAAACUCUGGUUAUCUUAUUUUGGCUGGAAAAAUAGAGGAAAGUUCUGAGCAUACCAUCAAAAUAUAAUAUGGUUUAUUCCUUCAGUAAGGUCCAAUCCCCACGAAAUUAAAGGAACCCUAUCUUUCACAAAUGGCAUGAGCAUUAGCCAAAUGUUAUGUUCUUGUAAAGCAGAAAAUAGUGGAAAAUGUAAACAUGUCUCUACUCUUGUUAAAUGUAAGUAUAAGGGAAAAUGUGAAAUUAAUGGAACAUUCAGUACAUGAGUUGAAAAAAUGUUAACAGAUUGGCAAAUGAAGACCAUUUUUAAUUGAUCUAAACAUUUAUAGAAACAAAGUAUAUGGUUAAUAUAAAUAUUACCUGCCUGAAGUAACUUGGUGUACAAAUCAAUAGUAACCAUAAUUUUUAUUCCCAGGGCCAGUGAGAAACAAUGUGCAUUUGAUUUCUAAGUGUUCUAAGGAAAGAUCUUGUAAGAAUAAAUAGAUCUGUACAAUGAAGAUUAACCUAAUCUGUUUAACCAUCGAAAUUAUUGUAUUGUUAUAAAAAUAAUAAAUCUCCAUUUCAUAUUAUUUACACUUACAUACAUUAACCUGGAAUUUCAUUGUGUCUACAUUAGUGGCCAUAGUCACAAACCUACCCUAGUCAACGGAGGUACUGUCUUUCUCAGAUGUGGUAAUACAGGGUUUGAUACAUUAUUGCUAAAUAAACUUUGUGAAUAGUAACUUUUCACAAAAUAGACAAAAUAGAGUUUUAAUAGUUUUUACUGUACUUAAAUAUUUUUUACAUUCAGUGGUAAUAACAUAUUUUAUUUUGUUUUGGUAUUUAAAUUUACCUAAAUAUUUAUAGAAAUAUACUAUACUAAAUUCAAGAUGCAGUACAAAUAAACAAACCAAGACACUUUAAAUGCUACUGUGAGCACUCCCGAAUCAUAAUUUACAAUGUAUAUACAUUGUAAAUCCCAAAUCAUGAUUUCCAAAGUUUGUACAUUGUGAAUUAUGAUUCGGGAAUGCUCCUAAUAGUAACAUUUAACUUGUCUUGGUUUGUUUAUUUCUACUGCAUCUUAAUUUUAAAUUUAGUGUAGAUGUGGCCAUCAUAGGACGCUUACUUAUAGAUGCAAUAAAAUUAUUGGUUUAUUUUCAUUUUAAAUGUUAUACUUCCAGUAUUGUAUGUAUUACCUAGUAUUAAAACAUAUAUUUUUAAUUAAAAAUAUAAAUAUCUUAUUUUUAUAAUGAACAACAUUAAAUCUACUUCUUGCGGGAGUAGAAGAAAGUUAUAGUAAAUAUUUUUAACUCGUUUAGCUUUUGAUGAUAUUUGCCAUAUGUUUGUGUAAGACAUGUUUAACGAGUAGUCUAAGGACAUAUUAUUAUACUUUGUUAUACAAAAUAGGCAUAAAAUUUUGAAACUUUCAGCUUCACUUUUUCAUUGUUUCAAUAUUAACCCAAAUUUAGACUCUCCACCAUUUUCUCAUAAAAAAGUAUGUUCAGUUUUUACCCCAGGUAGACCGAAACCACCAAAAAAUUGAUGUUACUUAAGUUUUUAAGUAUUAAGAAAAUGCGUUUCAUCAGAUACACAAAAUAAUAAUAAAAACUUUACUAUUAAACCAAAGUUUUAGUUAAAAUAAAAACAAAAUGUUUGCUUUCUGUGUAGAGUUACAAAAAUCAGUUGAAAUGCUAUUUAAUUUCGUAUUAUUUCCUGGUGAUCCUCUGCCAUACUAAUUUUACAUUGUUCUUACAUGCAAGCAUUUGUAAAUUAAUUUACCAUUAAAGGGCGGCCAAAGGUAUAUUCAUAUUAAAUGGGUGGUUGUAGUUUUGUAUAUUUUAUUUUCAUUUGUAUUAUUUUUAUUUUAGUUUUGUGAUAUUUUUAAGAACAAAUAAAAUAAUUAUAAUUA
RNAcentral lists this long non-coding RNA (1973 nucleotides) under Diabrotica virgifera virgifera (western corn rootworm). RNAcentral's name for it is "uncharacterized LOC126884332". The record is from RNAcentral. Lineage: Eukaryota; Metazoa; Arthropoda; Insecta; Coleoptera; Chrysomelidae.